GGAAUCAUUACUAAGUAAGAAAAGCAUCUCACAAAUAAGGAAGUGAUUCAAAAUCAGUGGAAAACUUUUAAGGAAAACAUAUACAAAAUCAGGGAUUCAAAGAGAUGCACAGAAUCGGCAGAAUAUUUGUUAAAUAAUAAACAAUUAGACCUAUUAAAUAGAAUAGGCACGAAAAUCAAAGAACCCUAAGCAAGAAAUCACAUAAUCAGUAGAAGGUUGGAACCCUAAUAACAAAAUUAAAGCAUAGAACUCAGAGAAUAACCAAGAAGAUCACACAAACAAGCAUUAUACAAACACAAACAUAUAGCACUCAAA
RNAcentral lists this long non-coding RNA (315 nucleotides) under Nicotiana benthamiana. RNAcentral describes it as "long non-coding RNA (NBEN_LNC018107)". The record is from RNAcentral. Lineage: Eukaryota; Viridiplantae; Streptophyta; Magnoliopsida; Solanales; Solanaceae.